UACGUAGGGUGCAAGCGUUAUCCGGAAUCACUGGGCGUAAAGCGUACGUAGGCGGACGCUUAAGUGUGAUGUUAAAUCGUGUGGCUCAACCAUAUCGAUGCAUCGCAUACUGGGUUUCUAGAGAACGGCAGAGGCAAGUGGAACUCGUAGUGUAGCGGUAAAAUGCGUAGAUAUUACGAAGAACACCAAUGGCGAAGGCAGCUUGCUGGGCCAUUUCUGACGCUGAGGUACGAAAGCGUGGGGAGCGAACAGG
RNAcentral lists this ribosomal RNA (253 nucleotides) under uncultured bacterium. RNAcentral's name for it is "partial 16S ribosomal RNA". It matches the Rfam family "Bacterial small subunit ribosomal RNA", at positions 524 to 776 of the family's 1533-position model. The record is from RNAcentral.